Molecule: ribosomal RNA, 237 nt
Filed under: Triticum aestivum (bread wheat)
Lineage: Eukaryota; Viridiplantae; Streptophyta; Magnoliopsida; Poales; Poaceae
Description: partial small subunit ribosomal RNA
Source: RNAcentral
AUGUGUAUAGACAAAUGCAUGCUUCUGUGCAAAAAGGACCUUAAUUCGUCUCUGUUGAAUUUGCUUCCUACAUUCUGUGCCAUCAAACGAGAGCCGCACCCCUAUUUCAUCUCCCAACUGCUUCCCGACGGCGGCGGCGCUCCAGCUCCGGCGUCACAGCGGCGUGAUCUCGGCGGUGAGCCGGUGACCAUGGGUGGCGACUGCGACGGCCCGUCGACCCCGUCUUUGGACUGGUAA